CCUACGGGAGGCAGCAGUGGGGAAUAUUGCACAAUGGGGGAAACCCUGAUGCAGCGACGCCGCGUGAGUGAAGAAGUAUUUCGGUACGUAAAGCUCUAUCAGCAGGGAAGAAAAUGACGGUACCUGACUAAGAAGCCCCGGCUAACUACGUGCCAGCAGCCGCGGUAAUACGUAGGGGGCAAGCGUUAUCCGGAUUUACUGGGUGUAAAGGGAGCGUAGACGGCAGCGCAAGUCUGGAGUGAAAUCCCAUGGCUUAACCAUGGAACUGCUUUGGAAACUGUGCAGCUAGAGUGCAGGAGAGGUAAGCGGAAUUCCUAGUGUAGCGGUGAAAUGCGUAGAGAUUAGGAGGAACACCAGUGGCGAAGGCGGCUUACUGGACUGUAACUGACGUGGAGGCUCGAAAGCGUGGGGAGCAAACAGGAUUAGAUACCCGGGUAGUC
Molecule: ribosomal RNA, 440 nt
Filed under: uncultured bacterium
Lineage: Bacteria
Description: partial 16S ribosomal RNA
Rfam family: Bacterial small subunit ribosomal RNA
Source: RNAcentral